UAGUGAUUAGAGUUUGAUCAUGGCUCAGAUUGAACGCUGGCGGCAUGCCUUUACACAUGCAAGUCGAACGGCAGCACGGGAGCAAUCCUGGUGGCGAGUGGCGAACGGGUGAGUAAUACAUCGGAACGUGCCCAGUAGUGGGGGAUAACCCGGCGAAAGCCGGACUAAUACCGCAUACGACCUACGGGUGAAAGCAGGGGAUCGCAAGACCUUGCGCUAUCGGAGCGGCCGAUGUCAGAUUAGCUUGUUGGCGGGGUAAAAGCCCACCAAGGCGACGAUCUGUAGCUGGUCUGAGAGGACGACCAGCCACACUGGGACUGAGACACGGCCCAGACUCCUACGGGAGGCAGCAGUGGGGAAUUUUGGACAAUGGGCGCAAGCCUGAUCCAGCCAUGCCGCGUGCGGGAAGAAGGCCUUCGGGUUGUAAACCGCUUUUGUCAGGGAAGAAACGCUCCGGGUUAAUACCCCGGAGUAAUGACGGUACCUGAAGAAUAAGCACCGGCUAACUACGUGCCAGCAGCCGCGGUAAUACGUAGGGUGCAAGCGUUAAUCGGAAUUACUGGGCGUAAAGCGUGCGCAGGCGGCUUUGCAAGACAGAUGUGAAAUCCCCGGGCUUAACCUGGGAACUGCAUUUGUGACUGCAUGGCUGGAGUGCGGCAGAGGGGGAUGGAAUUCCGCGUGUAGCAGUGAAAUG
Molecule: ribosomal RNA, 694 nt
Filed under: uncultured bacterium
Lineage: Bacteria
Description: bacterial SSU rRNA
Rfam family: Bacterial small subunit ribosomal RNA
Source: RNAcentral